Long non-coding RNA from Carlito syrichta (Philippine tarsier), 3797 nucleotides. RefSeq lists it as uncharacterized. NCBI's taxonomy places the organism in Eukaryota, Metazoa, Chordata, Mammalia, Primates, Tarsiidae. The record is from RefSeq and is a predicted model, not a curated record. The transcript is spliced from 2 exons.
AAUGAUGAAUACAGAGAGAUUUCUACUGGCUCGUAACAACUCCAGAAAAUUCUGUCUGGCCCUGUUCAUUAAGCUCCAACCUCCAUCCCCCUCCUUCCCCUGCUGACCCCCUUGUCUCCUCGGAGCUGCGCCGGGAGGCAACACAGCCGUCUCCACGUUUGUUCUCUUUUAAUGAAAAGGGGUAAGUUUUGUAAAGAGUGAGAAGUGUAAGAAACUGUGUUGACUACGAUACUAGUUCUUUUUGGAAUAUUCACGUGUCUACUGAAGCAGUGCCUUUCCUGGUGGCCCACAUCAACACCACAUUCCUGGAUUUCUUCUCUUCCCUCCUUAGAGCAGUCCUUCUCAGAGAGCAGGGUGUUCACCCUUCGGCACCCUAGGCCUGUACAACCUUCCCAGACCUCCCACCCCCUCUCAGCCAUCCCAUCUCCAGAACACUGGGGACACAGUGGUUCAGAUCUCAUUCAGUGGCACCAUCCUCUCUCGGUCACCUACCGUCUGCUGUGAGCUGCCCUGUACUCACCAGCAAGGGACAGCCAAGGCGUGGCAGAGCGACUUGGUGUAUAAUCGUUAUGUUCUUACAGUCGUGUUUUAAGCCUAUUAGUCCUUUUUUCAUAAAAAAAAAAAGUCCUUCCCAACAGCAAAAGAGAUAAAUGCUUGAAAUGAUGAAUGUGCUAAUCAGUCCGUCUGAUCACUGUAUAUUUUUCACAUCGAUAUACCACUACGUAUACCUCAUGAAUAUGUGCAAUUAUUUGUCAAUUUAAAAUAUUUAAAAAGAAUUAGAACCAUUCUGUACAUCGGUUCCUAAGCUGGGUUUUAAGAGGUGCUGUUUUUUCCCUCUCCUACACUUCUUUCUAUACAGAAUUUUGAGGCUGGUGGUACAUUGGUGUCCCCUGGUGACGCAAGCAUGAACUGCAGCUUGAACAUCCCUGAGCAAGACGGUGGGAGGGAGGGGCUGUGGCCCCAAACUCACCAGAGUUUGUUUUUUUUUGUUUUGUUCCAUGUUUUUGGUAUUGUGAAUAGUGCUGCAACAGACUGAGCUUUUUUUCCCCCCUUUUCCUCUUUUAUUAAUUCUAUUAACUAUUAAGACUAACUAGGAGCAGCUGUGGUUUCAGGCUGACAGGUCACAGACAAUCGACAGACAGAGCUUUCUAGAAGUCUGGAUGAAAACGGAGGCAUUCUCAGGAUACGGGAAUACAGAAGGCCACCAGACAGAUAGUCCAGCCUCUUACCAUGCUAAAGAGAAGGCUCUAUGUCAGAGAAAUAGAAAGAUCAUUUUUAUUUUUAUGCUUUGAAGCCUCUGGAUAAAUAGCAGGAAAUCUCGAUGAACAAAAAUGGAUCCGGGCUACCUGCCACCUUUGUAAAAUGCCCUUGUGUCUACUGUGGCCACUUUUCUACGUAAAUACAUUUGUGAUCACACUUGAAAUUGCAACAUAAUUUAAAUAUUUCAUAUAGACACAGUGUUUCAUCAUAGGAUGCCCCAAACUUUAUUUCACCAGCACCCUUGUGGUGAAAGCUUAAUGUUCUAACCAUGCUGUCCAUGACAAACAAUAUUACACUGAACACCCUUGUUUAUGUAUGCGAGUAUCUUGUAAAGCAUUUCUUUAUGAGUUCUUGGGAGUGUUCCUUUAAAACUCUGGAAAGCAUAAGAUUUUAUAGAGGUAAUAAAUUCAAAAUACUAUUACUACUUUAUAUCUCUAACACUCCAGUAUGAGUCACUUUCCUUACACAUUUAAAAUAAUGGGAAUCAUGGCUGAUGCAAUAGGUAAAAGAUUGUUCUUCUUUUUUGUUCUCAUUGCAACUCGUGUUAAAAUACACCCCAGCAUAAAAACGAAAUGGACAAAAGUGAGACAGACACACCAAACAUCUAGCAGCUAGCAGGAUGAGGGAUUAGUCACGUAGCCCUGUGUUCUCAACAGCCGUAAAGUUUCUCCCCUAUAGUGGAGCAGAAAGCAGCUCCUGAAAACCAUUGCUGAACAACUACAGUCGGGCGUUUUCUCAACCGACUACAAUGGCCUGAUGCCAGCCUACCAACGCCCCCAACCUUGUGGACAGAGGCCCGGUCUUGAAAACAUUCUUUACUGAUAAAUAUCUGCAGACCUCCAGCCAGUUUCGGCCAGCUUGUAGAGACUGCCCAUGAGCUGUCUUUGUGCCCUUUAGUUCACCUUUUGACACAAAGAGCCAAAUUCCACUUCAUUCUAAUGCUGCGACUCCACCUUGAAGUGGAUAUGGAAUGUUGGCCACACAUAUGUUUACCCACUGCACAGGUGUCUGACUUCCCUCAUGAAUAUUCGCUGAUUUUCCCUAACCCUUCCUCAAUAUGUGUGUAGGGACUGACCCUGUCUCACACAGACACCAGCCCCCACUCCCUUCUGCAGAGCACGCUCGUCGAGGAUUUCCCUGGGAGCCGUGUACCCUAAUCUGCAGACUGUCUCUCCCUCUAAACUAAAGUCUUCUUUCCUUCCUUCGUACAUCUACAGUUUCUUUGUUGCCUUCUAGAAUUCCACCCUUUGGAUAUGACAUAAUCACUUUUCGCAAUCCCAGUUAUUCAGAGUGUUCUAGUAUUCCCUGUUAUCAACACGCCGUGGAAGGCAUUUUUUUUUUCAGUCUGUACACUACUGAAGAGUGCAGUUCCGGACACAGUGUUUGUGGCUGUUUGCACAGUAAGCUGAAUGUGUCUUCUGUGAGUCCAGGGAACUGUCUUGGGAGCGUUUUAAUAAUGUGAUAACAGAAACAGGCUGGGUUUGUGUUACGGGUUUGGUGUCACAUUUGAUCCUCCUAUCUAAAUUCAGGACCAAAAGUGAAAGAAAGGAAUUAUCAGGGUGGCAGUUUUUAUAACCAGAUCCUUAUCUACAUUCUUCCCUAUGUCCUGAAGAUGAACUUCUAAAAUGGAAUUGUUGGCGCAAAGAGUAUGCACCUGUGUGCCUUGCGCCCAGCAUGGUGCCAGACAUAUACUUGCUCUAAUAAAGCUCGGAGGUUGCUGGGUCCCACUUGUCCAUGUGAAGAUCGUCAUGCUGGUGUCUGAGUUCAUAUCAGGUGUCUGGAAAAGGCAAGUCCUGCAGAUCCGGUUGCGGUGGCUACUGAAACUUCUAGUCCAGAUGUGAAGGCAGCGGUCCUCAGGAGAUCCCCAGCACUGUCAUCCCCUGGUGGGAUAUGAUGCCUGGCUCAUGCGAGUUCAUAGAUCAGAACAGAAGCAUGUUGUAGAGUUGCACUUGCAAAGUUUGCAAAAUAUCCUGAAAGUAGAGAAGCUACUUUGAUCUCAGCGUUGGAAGAGUUUAUCGGGUGCGAUUUCAGCCUAUCCGCAGUUAUGUGCUUUGUAGUAGCCCUUGAGGCCCAUCUUAGAGACGCCUUCUUUGUCCUAAAGCAAUGGGUUGUCUUACUUGAGGAAAUAACUUGAUGUAUACCAUGAAUCUGAAAUAAAUUUACAUGUAUUUUUCUGACUGUAUAAAUAAAAAUCAGUGGUUCACGUCACCCCCAUCAGAUGAGUGUUGAAUUCUGAAGCCCCUUAGAAGGCGUUGUGAGACUGUAAUUUAGAUUCUUACCUGGUAGCCACGUUUUUAUCCGUUCCAUAGUGCAAUUUUGUAGAAUCCAGCACUUUUCCGAAUGUUAGUUUGAAAUGCCAGUUUACAUUUUUUUUCAGAAUUAGUGAUUGCCCAAAGUUUUGUUGUAACCCUGGAGGCCCAUAUUAGAGAUGGCUUAUUUUAUCAUAAACUAAUGAACUGUUCACUUGCGGAGGAAGCUGAUGUUUAACAUGCAUUUGCAAUAAACUUACAUAUGUUUUUCCGACUGCUUAAAUAAUA